This is a long non-coding RNA of Gallus gallus (chicken), 1245 nucleotides long. RefSeq lists it as uncharacterized. The transcript has 3 exons. The record is from RefSeq and is a predicted model, not a curated record. Lineage: Eukaryota; Metazoa; Chordata; Aves; Galliformes; Phasianidae.
GCGAGGUGGGGCGAGGCGGAAAAUAAUCAAUAAAUCAUACGCCUGUCUACAGAUAGUUACAGAUGUACCUAAAUCUGCAUUUUCAGCCAACAAAUUAUUCAACUGAAAAAUUUUAUCCUGUACUCUUUGAGGAGAACAUUCAUCAUUUCACCCAUCUAGAGGUGGCCCUUUACAUGUGAGGAGCAAGAAUGGCAGAUAAAAUCAAGCUGUGUCUCCUGCUGAUCGGAAAAUGCAGAAAGGGCCCUGAUCUGGAUGUGUGAGAGAGGGAGCACAGAAACCUCUGAAAUGGCCACCAGACAGAUCAGUUUGCUCUGACCUCUUGAAUUAAAAGAGAGAUGUAGGAAGGAAGAACUUUUACAUGAUAAGAGCAGGAGCCUAUGCUGCACGUUCUGGAUCAAAACAGGAAAUGUUUGCCGGCACUAUCCCUUUCUCUCUGUGUUGCAGCUUCCUGAUGACCAAACUUUCGAAGGUAUGUUCUCUCUUGACCUCUGCCCUCCAGGUUAUCAUGAGGCUAAAACAAGCUUGUUAUCCCUUCAUUUAUUUGUUCACAGGGAGACUGAAGAACUGUGUAAUGGAUAGAGGGGAAGAGGGUAAUACAGAGAUUAACACUGCUUGUCUUUUCAUCCCUCUCCCCUUACUUUUCUCCUUGGUUAGUUGUUUUUCUCAGUACAAUGAUGAGGUCAGUAUCCAAACUUACUCUUGAGUUUUUCUUGGCCAAUUCACUUUGGAUCCCUAGUGUUCUUUCUUUUCAGCAACAAGUCAUGGUUUGAUCCCUCAGUGCCCAUGUGAUUACAGAAAAAACUAUAUUCUGGAUGAGUCCAUAGAAGGCCUUGAACAGUGAAGUCACCUCUUCCCUCAGCCUGCCAGUUCAACUAGCCUUGCUGACUGUGGGAAACCACCAGCACCUAUUGGUGUCAUCCCCAGACUUGCUGAGGGUGCAUUGCAUGCUGCUGCCUGGACUAAUUGUGAAGAUGCUCAAUAGCAAGAGCCCCAGCAGAUCUACUGACAGAUGUCACCCCUAGCUGAUUGCUGCCUGCACAUUAAAGUGUUGUCCCCUACUCUUUAAUCCUGUUAUCCAGCACAAAUUCUUGUUCCCCUGGCCUGACCUUAUUUCUAGGUUGGUUGUGAGAAUACUGCAUAUCAAAAGCCUUGUGAAAGUCUGAAUAUACUUCAAUAUUUUUAACCUUGACAUUCAUUUUUUAUGUAUUUUCUACUUUAAAAAGCUAAAUAUUUUUAAAGGGCAUA